AAGAGAUAGCCCAGCAAUCAAAUCCUUCCUUUAUCAGAAUCCAAGGCUGCAUGAGGGGAAAAUUAUCAUAUUCAAUGUCCUUUGGGACUGAUAAGUCAAGGAGGAGGAGGGGUUGAGGGUGGUUUGUAGGGGGGAUGAACUUGAAAGCUGACCAUUGGAUGUUUUACUGAGGAAUGACAGCCCUGGCUGAGCAGCUGUAGCCGGCUGAGGUUUGUGGCCGAGACUCCUGCAUGCGUUUUGGAUUUGUGAAACAGCUGUGGUAAAGAGUUGGGAGAGAUCAUGACAGCCAAAUAGUGAAAGGGCAGAAACGGGCCAGAGAGGUAGAUUCCAUUCAGAAGAUUGGAAUGGAUUUUGGUGCAUCGGGCAUGGCUACAGCACAAACACACAGAGGAAAUCAGUGAUGCUUUUCGUGGACCAGACUCCAUCCACAGGGGGAAAAGAAAACGUUCAACUUCCUGGCUAGAAAACUGAACUGACAAGCAGCUACCAACCGACAUGCCCACAAACAGGGGAUUCCGAGAGUUCCGUAGAUUAAUUGUUACUCUUGGAAAGGUUUUUUCGGAAAAUCAGCAAAGCACCUAAAGCAUACUGAAGCCUUUUCUCACAUUCAGGGUGAUGAGUUUAACACUUCCAGCUUGUUUGGAACAAACACAAGAAUUAAGUAGAAAGACAAAGUAAACAGAUCUACCUACACAUGAUCAGCUUUGCAAAGCGAAGACACUGAGCCUUACAACAGCGCCUUCUUAGGUCUUACAUCUUACUUGGACUUGGAUUUACCGCCUUGUCUGCCUCAAAGUUCAGUAAGUUUCAACUCUGACCUCAUUUGUCAGUGGCCUAUCAAUGUGCACAAAAUGAGUUUACAGCUGUCUGUCACCUAAGAUAACGGGACCAGUGAUGGACGAUGCCCCGAAUCUUUGUUCAUAGUGGGGUUCUUACUCAUCUUAUUCUCCAAUGGACAAUUAUUUCCAGUGCAUUGUUUUGUGGAAAUACAGUCUUUGCUUGGCUUGUUGUUUAAAUUUCCCGGCACUCAUUGCUGACGUAAACCCCUGUGCUCCGCCUCCACGGAGGGCCUGACAGCAAAUCCAAGGAAAGAGUCAUCCCAGUACCCACUCGCACUACGUGACUGAGGGGUGAUUUCUGGGAAGAACAAAAAAUAAAUGCCACAGCAAUGAGCCGCUGAGCAACAAAGAUGUAGGUAGAGUUUCAAGUCAACCUGCUUCACCGCUACCACCUCCAGUUAUUGACUCCAUACAUCCACACAAAGCACACUCUCUGAUCUCAACCAAAUGUCAUGACAUUUUGAACGCUCCAUCUCUCUGUUACUGCUUCAAAGUGCAGCCAAGCACAGGCAGAGUGAAUGGAAAUGGAUUCCAUACUCACACACAGAUGCAUUUGAUUUAAUAAAAGAGCUGGGCCUGUAUUUCUUAAUUUAUUCUGAAUCUCUCAGAGGAAUUACGCUGUAGGAAGUUUGAUUUCAUGUUUUUAUUAGGUUGCAUGGAGGGUAAUCUUUAUUAUCAUACAAUAUUAACUUGAAACCUUCCUUUCCAUUUGUUUUAAGAGGUGAGGUAAUGAAAGGAGAAGAGAAGGCAGAUAAAACUUGCCUGGAGCUGAUAAAAACAGGACCACUCUGCCACACACACACACACACACAGACACACACACUCUUUUUAGGAACAGGUGCUUUCCAUCCUGUGAGAUGGUCUUGGGCU
Perca fluviatilis (European perch) is the source of this 1709-nucleotide long non-coding RNA. RefSeq lists it as uncharacterized. The transcript is spliced from 3 exons. The record is from RefSeq and is a predicted model, not a curated record. Lineage: Eukaryota; Metazoa; Chordata; Actinopteri; Perciformes; Percidae.